Molecule: long non-coding RNA, 2434 nt
Organism: Acipenser ruthenus (sterlet)
Lineage: Eukaryota; Metazoa; Chordata; Actinopteri; Acipenseriformes; Acipenseridae
Exons: 6
Source: RefSeq, a predicted model, not a curated record
AAGACACACAGUGAGUGCAGAAGAAAAAAAAAAAAACUCUACAUAAAACAUGAACAGAUUCACUUGGACAUCUUUGAUAUUUUUAGUAUGCCUGCACAGAGCUAUAGGCACUGAUCUACAAAAAGAAGAUAGUGAGGGGCUUUUGCUUACAACUACAAACUAUGAACAAGAUGGUACUAGAAAUUACUUUUCAUCAGGGGACAGCUCUGAGGAAGAAGAAGACGACACUGAAAAUGAAAGAGACUUGUCAGUCCCUAUAGACUCAUUGCUAGGUCUGGACGACGACACAGUAAGAGUGCAACCUGUAUCUAAGCCCAAGGAAUCAGAAGGGCAGGACAAGAAAAAAAAAACGAAGAAAAGAAAAAACAAGCAAAGGAACAAGGACAAAAAGGACAACAAAAAGAUGUUGACAGCAAACCCAUGUACUACAACACAUAGUGAAUAUUGUAUUCAUGGGGUGUGUGUACAUUAUGAACAUUUGAAUGAAACAACCUGCAUAUGUAACAGAGGAUAUAGCGGCGAGCGGUGUGGUGUUCAGCAGCUGUCGUCUGUAGUCAGAGAAGAUAGUAUAGAUGCCACCCAAUCUAUACUUGUAGUAAUAGCUGCGGUGCUGUCUUUGAUAAGUUUUAUUGCAGUUGUCAUCAUUAUUUGUGCCCAUUGCAGAGCUCAGAAAAGAUUUACAGAACUUUACCAUGGAGGAAAUGAAGAAAAGGAAAAACUGCAACAAGAUAAAGGGAAUAGCCACAUUGUUGUCUAAACAGUAACAGGAAGUCAACUUAAAGAUGCAGCUCCCAUCAAGAAUGUUUCUUAUAUAUAUAUUAACUGUGUAAUAUAUUGUAGUAUAUGGAUAGACUAGACUACUGUGCGUCAUCCAAAACAAAUCUUGUAAUACCCCUGAAUGUAAAGUGAUAAUACUAUCGUUCAGACCCAGUAAUACUAUCGUUGGGCUUAUCAUUUAAAUACAUCAGAAAGUGUGGAUCAUGCAGAGCGGAGACCCAAAAGCCAACUCCCCUCUCGAGUAAAACCAACAACGUGAAGUAAUGGCUCUCUCAAAGGAAAACAGUAUUACCGAAGAAAGAGAAUCUGAACACCGAUUCACGGGCAAUAGAAAUGUCGCAUCAACAUGUUCAGCCAUGCUGCAGGGACUGACACCAGCUAACAAUCUCACCAAUAACAGCUACAACGCUGCCAGAUUUUGUUUGCAAUGCCCCGUCAAAUUUUGGAAGUAGCCAGCCAAGGAGUAGCCAAAUUGUGUUUUUUAAAACAGCCAAAAAUCAGCUCUUACAUUUAAGACUUAAAUAUAUAUAUAUAUUACAAAAACUAAAAUGUUAUGACACUUUUUAUUUAUUUAUUUAUUUAUUUAUUUAUCUGAUUUACAGUACAAGCACUGCUGUUUCUCAUCUGCUGAGAUCCAAUGCAGUAUGUCCAGGGGAAAAUAAAUUAUUCCGAAGGUAGUGAAAAAUAUAAUUGUCCAGAACUGUCAACGGAUACAGUUUUUAAAAAUAAAUUCCAUUUGUACUGAUACUGUUCUUAAACUGACGACGAAUAAAAAAUUACUUUUCACUUCCCCUUAUUUCACACUUAAACAAGAACCCCAGUCAAAUGCAUGAGUGUCAGUCAUGCGCAAGAAUCCCCAUGUGAACCAGUCCUGAGCAAAGAAGUAGGAGGGUUCACAAUUUUCUGGAUUUGCUGAAUGCAAGUGUGAGUGUUUGUGUGAUUUGCCAUUUUUAUUGGUUGCUGGAUUCCAGAAAAAAGACGGGGAGGGCGAGAUAUACUAUGCAGGGCAUUGUGUUGAUUCAUCCUGCGCUAGUGACAACCUCAUAAUUGAAAGGAAUAGAACAAACAUGCAUGAUAAAAACAGCCAAAAAAUAGCAAUAUGGAAAACCAGCAAUCUGGCAGUGCUGAAGAGCUACCUAUCUCUGUCACAGCAGGGAACAUCUUCGGCUCCCAUUGCACCUUCUUUGGAGAGUACGUCAAAUUUGUCAUCUACUCAACCAAAGUGCCAGCGCCAAUCAAAAAAGUCUUUAAAAAUGUUCAGAGUUUCCAGUUCUUGUUCGUGCUUCACAGUGUUUCUCAAUUUGCCACACGCCUUGGACAAUGUAUUGGCAAGUACUUCCUGCUAUAGAAUUGCAUCCUGUUGCCUGCAUCUCCCUGCUCCCGACCGAUAAAUGUAACUCUCACUUUCAGACUCGGAACCAUAUAUUACAAAAAAAUAAUAGCUGGUUCAGUGUGUAUAACCAGGGGUAAUACCAUCUCUAGGUUCUGGGGACAGGAACCUCUCCAGCUUCGCUCUUGAGGUUCCACUGUCCCCAGAACCUCUUGAUGGUAUUACUCCCUGGUAAUACACACUGAACCAGCCACUAUUCUAUUUAUAUUAUAUUUAUUUGUGUAUUUAAUAUUUAUUCUAUUUUUUUUUAUAUGUGCUUCUUAUAAA